GAAGGAUAAAAUAAGAAGUUGGUCACACACUGAGUUCUUAUGGCCGCCUAUAUUUGCACAUACUCACCAUUUGAGCCUCAACGUUAAAUACAUGGAAACAGGGCCUACAAUGAGAGAGAGAAAUGAAUGAAAUAGAUCCUGUUCCAAAAGCUCAAAGGCUUCAACUGGCCUGUGAACUGUGGCCUCAAGGGAUAUUAACUCACCAUCUGAAAGCAGAUGCAAGGCUUAAGCAUUUCCCUAAUGGAAAGACGAGGGCUCAGUUAAUAUCAUACCCCAUUAAGUUUUUCAAUAAACUCAUCUUUUAAAAAAAGAAUAACAUGGUGUUUAUACAGACUGUCAGAAAUUAGAUCCACUGUGUACAUUUCUUCUUUUUAAAGUUGUUUUGUUACUACUGCUUGUAGUCGGGUAUCUGAUACAGGGUUUGGAGUCUUCACUAACAUUAAAGUAAAACAAAACAAAACAAACAAAUCUGCAAAACCCCAAUCAUUCUGCCUGCAUUAAUCAGGAGUGAUCCUGUAUAUAUUUACCAAAAGAAAGAAAGAAAGAAAGAAAGAAAGAAAGAAAGAAAGAAAGAAAAGAAAAGAAAAGAAAAGAAAAGAAAGAAAGAAGCUGCACUGAAAGCCAAGGGACAAACUUUCAAAUAGGCAUGUCCUAUUUCGGUAUGGCGUUGAAAAUGCAAUUAAGUUGGAUCCUGACUUCAAAUGUAUGCAGCUGGUCUGGGAGAAACAGACCUCCUUCUCCUCAUAGCAGACUUGGAUCCCCACAAGAUAAACCCUGCUGAGUAGGAAAGCCUGCGGUAAAGGAGAAAUGAAAGAUCCUCCACCAUUAGGUGAAAGCACCUUCCAUGAGUGGAACACUUUGCAAGUCAAGCCAUUAGAGUUCAAAUCAAGGAAACAGGACUGGACUUGAUUUCUAGAUACCAUGAGGAACUUGUUUCACAUUUUUACAUCUGUUUUUCUGCAUGAAACCUUGCAGGGCAGGCUGAGAACAGAUUUCUGGAAAGAGUACAAUGUUACAUUAAAAUGAAUUAAAAUAUCUUAUACAGUGGUGCCUUGCUUAACGAUUUUAAUUGGUGCCAAAAAAAGACAUCGCUAUGGGAAAACAUCGCUAAGCAAAACGCGUUUUCCCAUAGAGAUGCAUUGAAUACCAGAUAAUCCAUUCCAAUGGGAACGGAUUGCCGUCCUUAAGCGAAAAUCACCAUAGGAAACAUCGCUAAACAAAACGCGGUUCCCCAAUUGAAAUGCAUUGAAACCUAUUCAAUGCAUUUUAAUGGUGGGCGAAUUACAACAAAUUCAAAAAGAGUCAGAACAAAGUCAAAUUAGUUUAACAAAGGGUUUAUUAAGUGCACUUAUGAUUUCAAGCAUUCUAAACCUUUUUUAAACCUUUUUAAACAUUUAAAAGACAGCCAACACGAGGCUGUCAAAACCAUUGUUAAGCGAAACAGGGGGACCCAAACUGUCAUCGCUAUGCGAAGCAAGGUCCCAAAUAUCACUAUGUGAAAAUCGUCCAUAGGAAACAUAGUUAAAUGGAGCACAAGAUUGCUCCGGAAAACUAAUCAUUAAGUGAUUACAUCGUUAAACGAAGCAAUCGCUAAGCAAGGCACCACUGUAGUUAGAGUCAUAUGUGGAAUCCCAGGAUAACUAAGCCCACAUCAAAAUAUUUUCCUUUUGCCAACAUUUACGUGGAAGUUCAGACUUUCUUCUCAGUCAUCAGUGGAGCUGCAAUGUAUAUUCACAAAUAUUUUCCACCAAUUCUUUGAGUGUGAAAUUAUACCUUAAAGUAUUAAACAUUUGGAUGGAUAUAUAUUCUUUUAAUUGGAAGGCACUAUCUGUGAAUAUUGAUCACAUGAUCUACCAAAUCUCAGGGACCGUAAAGCAAAUAUAGAUUUAUUAUAGGAUGCCACAUAUAGAUAAAAAUACUCAUAAUAAACAGAUAGUGGCUGAAACCCA
This 1949-nucleotide long non-coding RNA is filed under the name Pogona vitticeps (central bearded dragon). RNAcentral describes it as "lncRNA (ENSPVIG00000016046.1)". The record is from RNAcentral. Lineage: Eukaryota; Metazoa; Chordata; Lepidosauria; Squamata; Agamidae.